This 497-nucleotide ribosomal RNA is filed under the name uncultured bacterium. Its description in RNAcentral is "partial 16S ribosomal RNA". It matches the Rfam family "Bacterial small subunit ribosomal RNA", at positions 28 to 507 of the family's 1533-position model. The record is from RNAcentral.
GAUGAACGCUGGCGGCGUGCCUAACACAUGCAAGUCGAACGAACAGACGCAGAGCGCUCGCUGCUGACGUUAGCGACGGGCGGGUGAGUAAUGAGUAGAUAGCCCUCCACUAUGACUUAGGUCACUUCGAGAAGCCGGAGCUACUACUAGAUAAUACCACCAACUGGUUGGUGCAGUAGUGAUUGACGGUUUUGGUGUCAACUAUAGACGGAUCCGCUCCGUAUUAGCUAGUUGGUAAGGUAACGGCCUAACAAGGAAACGAUGCGUGGCCGAGCUGAGAGGCUGAUCGGCCACACUGGAACUGAGACACGGUCCAGACUACUACGGGAGGCAGCAGUAGGGAACGGGCGGCAAUGGGCGCAAGCCUGACGCAGCGAGGCCGCGUGUGUGACGAAGGCCUUCGGAUCGUAAAGCCCGGUUUUUGGGUAAGAACAAAUGUAUGUGGAGAUAUAGCGGUCUUGACGGUACCUAAAGAAGAAGCACCGGCUAACUACGUG